Etheostoma cragini (Arkansas darter) is the source of this 145-nucleotide long non-coding RNA. RefSeq lists it as uncharacterized. The transcript has 3 exons. NCBI's taxonomy places the organism in Eukaryota, Metazoa, Chordata, Actinopteri, Perciformes, Percidae. The record is from RefSeq and is a predicted model, not a curated record.
UUGUUGUGUGGGCGCAAGUGACUGGCUGGAACAACAACCUUUGAAACUGGUCCAGUAUUAAGCUUGAACGCUGUAACCGGCAGCCACAGACUGGGCUGCAAUGGAACCCUGUAAGGGCAAAUGUGCAUCGGCGACAUGGUCCGCU